Molecule: non-coding RNA, 1371 nt
Organism: Petromyzon marinus (sea lamprey)
Lineage: Eukaryota; Metazoa; Chordata; Hyperoartia; Petromyzontiformes; Petromyzontidae
Source: RefSeq, a predicted model, not a curated record
GAAUCUGUGAAUGGAGAAAUAAAGAGCUUAAGGCAGCACAAAUAAAACAAAAGUUACUGUGUGGUAAGUCGGACAGUGGAGAACAGCAGGCGAACAUAAUAGAAAAAUGGGGGUUCCCCCCCUCUUUGCCCAGGUGCAGUUACAACUCCUACACACUUGAGAGCUGUGCAACUGAUCGUGAGGAUUAAUGCGCCACCGACGCCGCUACCCACCUGCUUGAUGUUGCGCAUGGCGACGGCGGCGAUGCUGUCCAGCACCUCCGGCUGCAGUUCCUGCGCUGACCUCCUGCGGAUGUCCGGCCCGGCGAGCGGCCCGUAGACGGUGAAGACGCGCAGUGCGGACUGCGGGUGCGCCAUCGGGUCGGCCCAGAUGCCCAUCAUGAUCUCGGUGUCUUCUCCCCGGGACUCCUCAUCCAGCUCCUGCAGAACCUGCGUCUCGUCGGCCCCAUGGCUCUUUUGGCCGUCGUCGCACCAGCUGUGCGGGGGGAGCAGCUUCUGAAAGCGCUCGCGCGCCGCCAUAUUGAAGGAGGUGCUGUUGUAGGACAGGCCCCGCAGGUGGCGCAGCACCGUGCACACCUUCGCUAUAUUCAUCACCGGCAGCAGCUGCACUCAGCCGGUAUCGUUCAAGCACAGCCGAAAUAACAUGAACAUUUUACACGUCAUUGUGAAUUUUGUUCAUGUGUAGUAAGAGUAGCAUGUCAAUGACACAUUAUUUUCAAAUGUAUUUGUGCUUUUUUAAAAAUAGAAAACGUACUGGUAAUAUUGAUAAGUUACAAUGUUUUUUUUUCAAGAUGUGAUAAAAGUGCUAUGCGCAGAUGAAUGGCACUUGUAGUGAGAAACCCUAACUUAACAACCCAGGCAGCCACCCGUCAUUAAAUUAGGUUCUGGAGUGUAGUUUAGUUGCUAGUCUCAGGUUAGUCACCAAUGACUGCAUAAAAAAACAUGACAUACAAUUUUGUUCUGUACUUAAUAGCAGCUCUAAGAAUUAAAAACAUCUGUUUAACUGUCAUGCGAUGAAUAUUACUCUUCGUUGCAGAGUGGUAGGAGAGUGUGCAGACCAAAGGUCACUUGAAGGGAUCUCAGAAGUAGUUCUGUGAUAUCAGCUUCUAUGGGCUAUUCACUACCACAAUGGACUGACUGCACUGCUCUGUGAGAGAUUUAAAUGGAAUAAGUUUCAUGACAUGAUCUCGAUAGCAAAAUUGGACUAGAAUUGGUAAAAGACAUUGUGUUUGUUAACGAAACGACACAUGGAUCAUGAUCAUGUAUAAUGACAAUAGAAAAAACGUAGAGAAGUGUACAAAAAAGCAUGGAGAAAGCAAUUGGACAAAUUUGUUUUAGAAAUAAACAAUACAUUUUAAUCAACGAAUCAUAA